UCCUGGAGCGAAUGAAUACCCUUCUGGCCAACGGAGAGGUAAUUAGGUGACGUGUUGCGUUGCAUUACGUGUUACCAGGGGACCAGUAAGUCAGCACUGUGCUGUUUCCCAGGUGCCUGGUCUCUUUGAAGGAGACGAGUAUGCCACCUUGAUGACGCAGUGCAAAGAGGGGGCACAGAAGGAAGGCCUGAUGCUGGACUCGCAUGAGGAGCUCUACAAGUGGUUCACUAGCCAGGUUAUCCGCAACCUCCACGUCGUGUUCACCAUGAACCCGUCCUCCGAGGGACUCAAGGACCGGGCAGCCACAUCGCCAGCACUUUUCAACAGGUGUGUGUUGAAUUGGUUUGGAGACUGGUCCACCGAAGCACUGUAUCAGGUUGGCAAAGAAUUCACAAGUAAGAUGGACCUGGAGAAGCCAAAUUACAUCGUGCCUGAUUACAUGCCAGUUGUGUAUGAUAAGCUGCCACAGCCACCAUCCCAUCGGGAAGCCAUUGUGAACAGCUGUGUGUUUGUUCAUCAGACUCUUCACCAGGCGAAUGCUCGGCUAGCAAAGCGAGGCGGCAGAACGAUGGCCAUCACCCCUCGCCACUACCUGGACUUCAUCAAUCACUACGCCAACCUGUUCCACGAGAAGCGGAGCGAGCUGGAGGAGCAGCAGAUGCACUUGAACGUGGGGCUCAGGAAGAUCAAAGAGACAGUCGACCAGGUAGAAGAACUGCGU
This 721-nucleotide small RNA is filed under the name Pan troglodytes (chimpanzee). Its description in RNAcentral is "retained intron". Lineage: Eukaryota; Metazoa; Chordata; Mammalia; Primates; Hominidae. The record is from RNAcentral.